GAAUGUCCUCUCAACGAGGUGAUUUCUGUAUAAUUAUCGAAACAAAAAUAUUUCUACCGCAGUUAACCGUGGCCCUGUUGUUCGUAAGUUUAUGGAAAGUUUUAAUGUCAAACAAUUUUUCAAUUACAAGCCAGGAGUCAAAAAAUCUGAUCCAAUGAGACAGUUUACUGGACCUGAACGGAGGACACCAUACCAAACAUAUCUGGACUCUGCACCGCCAUUUCCUCCAUUGGAUGUGAUCGAUGAGAGCCCUCGCUGCAGAUGGUUCAGAAAGGCAUGCCUUCAGUAUUGAUAAGCUCAUGUCGGAGGGAGAAAAAGUCUACUUGCUGGAUUGCAGGCAGCAUCUGCGACUUUCAGUGGGACAAUUAUGCUGCAGACUAGCUGCUUGCAGCCAACUGGACAGCUAAAUUUGGAUUUUCCCAACAAUGGAACCAGG
This is a long non-coding RNA of Solea solea (common sole), 436 nucleotides long. RefSeq lists it as uncharacterized. Lineage: Eukaryota; Metazoa; Chordata; Actinopteri; Pleuronectiformes; Soleidae. The record is from RefSeq and is a predicted model, not a curated record. The transcript is spliced from 3 exons.